UACGUAGGGUGCGAGCGUUGUCCGGAAUUAUUGGGCGUAAAGAGCUUGUAGGCGGUCUGUCGCGUCUGCUGUGAAAAUCCGGGGCUCAACCCCGGACUUGCAGUGGGUACGGGCAGACUAGAGGUAGGUAGGGGAGAAUGGAAUUCCUGGUGUAGCGGUGGAAUGCGCAGAUAUCAGGAGGAACACCGAUGGCGAAGGCAGAUCUCUGGGCCGUAACUGACGCUGAGGAGCGAAAGCAUGGGGAGCGAACAGG
This 253-nucleotide ribosomal RNA is filed under the name uncultured bacterium. RNAcentral's name for it is "partial 16S ribosomal RNA". It matches the Rfam family "Bacterial small subunit ribosomal RNA", at positions 524 to 776 of the family's 1533-position model. The record is from RNAcentral.